Molecule: long non-coding RNA, 1496 nt
Filed under: Nicotiana benthamiana
Lineage: Eukaryota; Viridiplantae; Streptophyta; Magnoliopsida; Solanales; Solanaceae
Description: long non-coding RNA (NBEN_LNC023482)
Source: RNAcentral
AUUUUUUAGUGGCAAUAAGGCAAUGGUCGCCAAUAAAUUCUUUAAGCUUAAAUUUUAACGGCAUAUAACUCGUUGAUGCACAACGCAUAAACUUCACUCCGAAAAAGCCCUAACUCGAUGAAGCAUCAACGCCAGUGCGCGGAGACGCCAUUGUGCGAAAACUCUAGUGCGAUUUACAGUGCGUCAACUAUUGUGCACAUCUUCUGCCCAGGUAAACUCUUUCUAUUCGAUUUUACAAUUGAUUUAAAGAAGAUCAGUUCAAUUUUUACAGAAGACAGUGCGUCAAUAACAGUAGAUUUACAGUAAUUCAGUUCCUUCCAAUCGAUUUACAAUAGAUCUUGUAUUGAUGUUUGUGGAGUGGAGGAAGGAGGUGGUGCCAUGGUUUGAUAUAUAUAAAAUUAGGCCUAUGCAACGUGUUAAUGAGACAUUUUAUUUUUCUUAAAUUUUUUAUUUUUUGAAAGAUCUAAUUAUUGUGGCUUGAUGGGUUCCAAUUUCUUCAUACUAGGGUAAUAAAUCUGAGUCAAGAAGGGUGUUUAAGUGCUUUUCAAGUAGAAAGAAGGAAUCAAACAAAAAGGUAAUUUAGAGAUAUUCUUUUUAAAUAAUGGGGUUAUCGAAUUGUAAGCUUCUACGAUAAGUAUGAUUAAAUUUGAUUUUGAAGCGUGAAUUCUUUUAUAGAUGUCGUAAACAACAGAAAUUUGAAAGCAAUUCAAAACACAUAAACUUUAAAUACUGGCUCCGCUUCUACUUUUGAGAUAUAAAAGAGAACAGGUGCCCUAAUAAAAUUGUUAGGGUGACAUCUUUAUUAAUAGGGAGGAUAAGUCAUUUGUUAAAAAAAUUGUUUGCGUCAUAACAUAUCCAAGAAAAACAAUAUAAGUUGUCAAUGUGAGCAGGGUGAGGAUCACAAUAAUUGAUGUGGGAUGUUUUAAUUAUCCGUAUCUGGGGUGAAAUUAGCCUUGUUUUUUAGAAGAAGGUUCUGCUAAUUUGGAAAGUUUUAGACUGUAGAGCAUGAGUCAUUCUCCCUCUGUACUGACUUGCUUGUCCCUUGAGCUUAUCAAGGCCAAUUUGACUGAUUUCUGGAACUAAAUCAGAUCAGUUUAUUUUCCGAAUAAACUUUUUAUACAUAGAGAAUACACAAAAAUACUAGUGUAAUAUUUUCCAUAUCAAAUUAAUAAAAGAAUACAUAUAAAAGUACUAAUCAAAAUUUGAUUCAGGCUUUGUUGUUAAAAGCCAUCGCUUCGUCGCUUUGCGAAGAGGAGGAGUUAUCGCUUCAUAGGUAAAGCCAUGCACUUCAAAUAAUGAGGUGCAAAGCGAUCCAAAAUAAAAGUGGAGGAUUGUUGAAUCUCAAUUUUGAGUUGUAUUAAUAUUCAUAUUAGCGUACAUUAGAGCUGAAGUUAGUUUUUACAAUUUGAUUACUACAGCACUAAAUUCAUGUGUAUGUGGCAUCAUUUUAAUUUUUAUAAAUUGUGCGCUUCAUUUCAAAGAAGCACGUGCUUCAC